Molecule: ribosomal RNA, 251 nt
Filed under: uncultured prokaryote
Description: partial 16S rRNA
Rfam family: Bacterial small subunit ribosomal RNA
Source: RNAcentral
ACGAAGGGUGCAAGCGUUGUUCGGAUUUAUUGGGCGUAAAGCGCGCGCAGGCGGGUAGAUAAGUCAGGUGUGAAAUCUCGGGGCUCAACCCCGAAAUUGCGCCUGAAACUGUUUAUCUAGAAUCUUGGAGAGGGAGGGAGAAUAUCGCAUGUAGGGGUAAAAUCCGUAGAGAUGCGAUGGAAUAUCGGAGGCGAAGGCGCCCUCCUGGACAAGUAUUGACGCUGAGGUGCGAAAGCGUGGGGAGCAAACAG